This 324-nucleotide ribosomal RNA is filed under the name uncultured eukaryote. RNAcentral describes it as "partial 18S ribosomal RNA". It matches the Rfam family "Eukaryotic small subunit ribosomal RNA", at positions 1470 to 1796 of the family's 1831-position model. The record is from RNAcentral.
CCCUUAGAUGUUCUGGGCUGCACGCGCGCUACACUGAUGCGCUCAACGAGUUUUAACCUUGCCUGGAAAGGUUGGGUAAUCUUUUUAAAACGCAUCGUGAUGGGGAUAGACUAUUGCAAUUAUUGGUCUUCAACGAGGAAUUCCUAGUAGACGUAGUUCAUCAGACUGCAUCGAUUACGUCCCUGCCCUUUGUACACACCGCCCGUCGCUCCUACCGAUUGAAUGCUCAGGUGAGCCAUUCGGACUUUCAUCAUGCUGGUUUCCAGUUUUGAUGAAGGAAAGUCUUGCGAACCUUAUCAUUUAGAGGAAGGAGAAGUCGUAACA